Molecule: ribosomal RNA, 468 nt
Filed under: uncultured bacterium
Lineage: Bacteria
Description: partial 16S ribosomal RNA
Rfam family: Bacterial small subunit ribosomal RNA
Source: RNAcentral
GACGAACGCUGGCGGCGUGCUUAACACAUGCAAGUCGAACGGAAAGGCCCGGCUUUUGUGGGGUGCUCGAGUGGCGAACGGGUGAGUAACACGUGAGUAACCUGCCCUUGACUGUGGGAUAACUUCAGGAAACUGGGGCGAAUACCGGAUAGGAGCUCCUGCUGCACGGGGGGGGUUGGAAAGUUUCGGCGGUUGGGGAUGGACUCGCGGCUUAUCAGCUUGUUGGUGGGGUAGUGGCUUACCAAGGCUUUGACGGGUAGCCGGCCUGAGAGGGUGACCGGCCACAUUGGGACUGCGAUACGGCCCAGACUCCUACGGGAGGCAGCAGUGGGGAAUCUUGCACAAUGGGCGGAAGCCUGAUGCAGCAACGCCGCGUGCGGGAUGACGGCCUUCGGGUUGUAAACCGCUUUCGCCUGUGACGAAGCGUGAGUGACGGUAAUGGGUAAAGAAGCACCGGCUAACUACGUG